GCCUGGGUGGCUCAGUGGGUUGAGUGACUGACUUCGGCUCAGGUCACGAUCUCACAGUUUGUGAGUUCGAGCCCCGCGUCAGGCU
Felis catus (domestic cat) is the source of this 85-nucleotide transfer RNA. It matches the Rfam family "tRNA". From Rfam's summary of the family: Transfer RNA (tRNA) molecules are approximately 80 nucleotides in length. Their secondary structure includes four short double-helical elements and three loops (D, anti-codon, and T loops). Further hydrogen bonds mediate the characteristic L-shaped molecular structure. tRNAs have two regions of fundamental functional importance: the anti-codon, which is responsible for specific mRNA codon recognition, and the 3' end, to which the tRNAs corresponding amino acid is attached (by aminoacyl-tRNA synthetases). tRNAs cope with the degeneracy of the genetic code in two manners: having more than one tRNA (with a specific anti-codon) for a particular amino acid; and 'wobble' base-pairing, i.e. permitting non-standard base-pairing at the 3rd anti-codon position. The record is from Rfam. NCBI's taxonomy places the organism in Eukaryota, Metazoa, Chordata, Mammalia, Carnivora, Felidae.